GGCAUUGUAGCUCAGUUUGGUGGAGCGGACGCCUCGUAAGCGUCAGGUCGCCGGUUCGAGUCCGGCCAUUGCCUCUA
Molecule: transfer RNA, 77 nt
Filed under: Bifidobacterium longum subsp. longum
Lineage: Bacteria; Bacillati; Actinomycetota; Actinomycetes; Bifidobacteriales; Bifidobacteriaceae
Also listed under: 3 other names
Description: tRNA-Thr
Rfam family: tRNA
About the family: Transfer RNA (tRNA) molecules are approximately 80 nucleotides in length. Their secondary structure includes four short double-helical elements and three loops (D, anti-codon, and T loops).
Source: RNAcentral